RNAcentral lists this ribosomal RNA (494 nucleotides) under uncultured bacterium. RNAcentral describes it as "partial 16S ribosomal RNA". It matches the Rfam family "Bacterial small subunit ribosomal RNA", at positions 28 to 507 of the family's 1533-position model. The record is from RNAcentral.
GACGAACGCUGGCGGCGUGCUUAACACAUGCAAGUCGAACGGUGAAGCGCCUUCCUUUUUGGUGGGUGUGGAUGAGUGGCGAACGGGUGAGUAACACGUGAGUAACCUGCCCCCUUCGUCUGGAUAACCGCAUGAAAGUGUGGCUAAGACGGGAGAUUCUGGGUCUGUCGCAGGAUUGGUCUGGGAAAGAUAUUGUUUCGGGGGGGGAUGGGUUCGCGGCCUAUCAGCUGGUUGGGGGGGUGAUGGGCUCCCAAGGCGGUGACGGGUAGCCGGGCUGAGAGGGUGGGCGGUCCCGCUGGGGCUGCGGCCCGGACCGGACUCCUACGGGAGGCAGCAGUGGGGAAUAUUGCACAAUGGGCGAAAGCCUGAUGCAGCGCCGCCGCGUGAGGGAUGGAGGCCUUCGGGUUGUGAACCUCUUUCGCGAGUGAAGCCGGCCUGCCUCGUGUGUGGGUGGGUUGACGGUAGCUGGAUAAGAAGCGCCGGCUAACUACGUG